Molecule: ribosomal RNA, 2927 nt
Filed under: Salmonella enterica subsp. enterica serovar Enteritidis
Lineage: Bacteria; Pseudomonadati; Pseudomonadota; Gammaproteobacteria; Enterobacterales; Enterobacteriaceae
Description: 23S ribosomal RNA
Rfam family: Bacterial large subunit ribosomal RNA
Source: RNAcentral
GGGUUGUGAGGUUAAGCGACUAAGCGUACACGGUGGAUGCCCUGGCAGUCAGAGGCGAUGAAGGGCGUGCUAAUCUGCGAUAAGCGCCGGUAAGGUGAUAUGAACCGUUAUAACCGGCGAUACCCGAAUGGGGAAACCCAGUGUGACUCGUCACACUAUCAUUAACUGAAUCCAUAGGUUAAUGAGGCGAACCGGGGGAACUGAAACAUCUAAGUACCCCGAGGAAAAGAAAUCAACCGAGAUUCCCCCAGUAGCGGCGAGCGAACGGGGAGGAGCCCAGAGCCUGAAUCAGCAUGUGUGUUAGUGGAAGCGUCUGGAAAGGCGCGCGAUACAGGGUGACAGCCCCGUACACAAAAGCGCAUGUGCUGUGAGCUCGAUGAGUAGGGCGGGACACGUGGUAUCCUGUCUGAAUAUGGGGGGACCAUCCUCCAAGGCUAAAUACUCCUGACUGACCGAUAGUGAACCAGUACCGUGAGGGAAAGGCGAAAAGAACCCCGGCGAGGGGAGUGAAAAAGAACCUGAAACCGUGUACGUACAAGCAGUGGGAGCACCCUUUGGGGUGUGACUGCGUACCUUUUGUAUAAUGGGUCAGCGACUUAUAUUCUGUAGCAAGGUUAACCGUAUAGGGGAGCCGGAGGGAAACCGAGUCUUAAUUGGGCGUUAAGUUGCAGGGUAUAGACCCGAAACCCGGUGAUCUAGCCAUGGGCAGGUUGAAGGUUGGGUAACACUAACUGGAGGACCGAACCGACUAAUGUUGAAAAAUUAGCGGAUGACCUGUGGCUGGGGGUGAAAGGCCAAUCAAACCGGGAGAUAGCUGGUUCUCCCCGAAAGCUAUUUAGGUAGCGCCUCGUGAAUUCAUCUCCGGGGGUAGAGCACUGUUUCGGCUAGGGGGCCAUCCCGGCUUACCAACCCGAUGCAAACUGCGAAUACCGGAGAAUGUUAUCACGGGAGACACACGGCGGGUGCUAACGUCCGUCGUGAAGAGGGAAACAACCCAGACCGCCAGCUAAGGUCCCAAAGUCAUGGUUAAGUGGGAAACGAUGUGGGAAGGCCCAGACAGCCAGGAUGUUGGCUUAGAAGCAGCCAUCAUUUAAAGAAAGCGUAAUAGCUCACUGGUCGAGUCGGCCUGCGCGGAAGAUGUAACGGGGCUAAACCAUGCACCGAAGCUGCGGCAGCGACGCUUAUGCGUUGUUGGGUAGGGGAGCGUUCUGUAAGCCUGCGAAGGUGGCCUGUGAGGGUUGCUGGAGGUAUCAGAAGUGCGAAUGCUGACAUAAGUAACGAUAAAGCGGGUGAAAAGCCCGCUCGCCGGAAGACCAAGGGUUCCUGUCCAACGUUAAUCGGGGCAGGGUGAGUCGACCCCUAAGGCGAGGCCGAAAGGCGUAGUCGAUGGGAAACGGGUUAAUAUUCCCGUACUUGGUGUUACUGCGAAGGGGGGACGGAGAAGGCUAUGUUGGCCGGGCGACGGUUGUCCCGGUUUAAGCGUGUAGGUGUGUGUUCCAGGUAAAUCCGGUUCACUUUAACACUGAGGCGUGAUGACGAGGCACUACGGUGCUGAAGUAACAAAUGCCCUGCUUCCAGGAAAAGCCUCUAAGCAUCAGGUAACAUCAAAUCGUACCCCAAACCGACACAGGUGGUCAGGUAGAGAAUACCAAGGCGCUUGAGAGAACUCGGGUGAAGGAACUAGGCAAAAUGGUGCCGUAACUUCGGGAGAAGGCACGCUGACACGUAGGUGAAGUGAUUUACUCACGGAGCUGAAGUCAGUCGAAGAUACCAGCUGGCUGCAACUGUUUAUUAAAAACACAGCACUGUGCAAACACGAAAGUGGACGUAUACGGUGUGACGCCUGCCCGGUGCCGGAAGGUUAAUUGAUGGGGUCAGCGCAAGCGAAGCUCCUGAUCGAAGCCCCGGUAAACGGCGGCCGUAACUAUAACGGUCCUAAGGUAGCGAAAUUCCUUGUCGGGUAAGUUCCGACCUGCACGAAUGGCGUAAUGAUGGCCAGGCUGUCUCCACCCGAGACUCAGUGAAAUUGAACUCGCUGUGAAGAUGCAGUGUACCCGCGGCAAGACGGAAAGACCCCGUGAACCUUUACUAUAGCUUGACACUGAACAUUGAGCCUUGAUGUGUAGGAUAGGUGGGAGGCUUUGAAGUGUGGACGCCAGUCUGCAUGGAGCCGACCUUGAAAUACCACCCUUUAAUGUUUGAUGUUCUAACGUGGACCCGUGAUCCGGGUUGCGGACAGUGUCUGGUGGGUAGUUUGACUGGGGCGGUCUCCUCCUAAAGAGUAACGGAGGAGCACGAAGGUUGGCUAAUCCUGGUCGGACAUCAGGAGGUUAGUGCAAUGGCAUAAGCCAGCUUGACUGCGAGCGUGACGGCGCGAGCAGGUGCGAAAGCAGGUCAUAGUGAUCCGGUGGUUCUGAAUGGAAGGGCCAUCGCUCAACGGAUAAAAGGUACUCCGGGGAUAACAGGCUGAUACCGCCCAAGAGUUCAUAUCGACGGCGGUGUUUGGCACCUCGAUGUCGGCUCAUCACAUCCUGGGGCUGAAGUAGGUCCCAAGGGUAUGGCUGUUCGCCAUUUAAAGUGGUACGCGAGCUGGGUUUAGAACGUCGUGAGACAGUUCGGUCCCUAUCUGCCGUGGGCGCUGGAGAACUGAGGGGGGCUGCUCCUAGUACGAGAGGACCGGAGUGGACGCAUCACUGGUGUUCGGGUUGUCAUGCCAAUGGCACUGCCCGGUAGCUAAAUGCGGAAGAGAUAAGUGCUGAAAGCAUCUAAGCACGAAACUUGCCCCGAGAUGAGUUCUCCCUGAGACUUAGAGUCUCCUGAAGGAACGUUGAAGACGACGACGUUGAUAGGCCGGGUGUGUAAGCGCAGCGAUGCGUUGAGCUAACCGGUACUAAUGAACCGUGAGGCUUAACCUUACAACGCCGAAG